RNAcentral lists this ribosomal RNA (411 nucleotides) under uncultured bacterium. Its description in RNAcentral is "bacterial SSU rRNA". It matches the Rfam family "Bacterial small subunit ribosomal RNA", at positions 335 to 737 of the family's 1533-position model. The record is from RNAcentral.
ACUCCUACGGGAGGCAGCAGUAGGGAAUCUUCCGCAAUGGACGAAAGUCUGACGGAGCAACGCCGCGUGAGUGAUGAAGGUUUUCGGAUCGUAAAACUCUGUUGUUAGGGAAGAACAAGUACCGGAGUAACUGCCGGUACCUUGACGGUACCUAACCAGAAAGCCACGGCUAACUACGUGCCAGCAGCCGCGGUAAUACGUAGGUGGCAAGCGUUGUCCGGAAUUAUUGGGCGUAAAGCGCGCGCAGGUGGUUUCUUAAGUCUGAUGUGAAAGCCCCCGGCUCAACCGGGGAGGGUCGAUUGGAAACUGGGAGACUUGAGUGCAGAAGAGGAAAGUGGAAUUCCAAGUGUAGCGGUGAAAUGCGUAGAGAUUUGGAGGAACACCAGUGGCGAAGGCGACUUUCUGGUCUGU